Molecule: long non-coding RNA, 603 nt
Filed under: Homo sapiens (human)
Lineage: Eukaryota; Metazoa; Chordata; Mammalia; Primates; Hominidae
Description: HSALNT0134608
Source: RNAcentral
CUCCAUAGUACGAGAGCUGCAUGUGUAUGGGAGUGUGGUCCCUGUGAGCAGCCGGGAUCCUACUAAAUUUCAGCAUCAGGGAUUUGGCAUGCUGCUGAUGGAGGAAGCAGAAAGAAUAGCUAGAGAAGAACAUGGGUCUGGGAAAAUCGCUGUGAUAUCAGGGGUCGGCACCAGGAAUUAUUAUAGAAAGAUCGGCUACAGAUUACAAGGCCCGUACAUGGUGAAGAUGCUGAAAUAAUGGCCACACCAGUCCACUCUUCUGCAGUAUCCUCCCUGGCAGAACACGGAGAAUCAGGAUUUCUUAAAUACUCAACAGAGAGGCUGAGCAGAGCAAAUGGGGGGCUUCACCCUCAUCCCGCAGCUGCAGAGACUGGAAACUGCCUUCAAGGCCACGGCUGGUCAUCUGCUGACCACACCCCAGAUCCGCCCUCUCCUGCGUGCACCCCAAAAAAUCACUUGCGUUUUUGAGGCUUAAAUCAUCUAUCCAGUUUCUACAUUUUGCAUGAGGCCUGCAGGUGGCCUAUUUUGACUCAGACGGUGAAAAAAGCAAAUUAACUCAUUUGGACACCAUAACUCAUGCAAUAAAACUGAUUGUCAUUCGAG